Oncorhynchus mykiss (rainbow trout) is the source of this 2409-nucleotide non-coding RNA. Lineage: Eukaryota; Metazoa; Chordata; Actinopteri; Salmoniformes; Salmonidae. The record is from RefSeq and is a predicted model, not a curated record.
UUUGGACAUUGUGGCUGGGGAACUUGUGACAACCGUUUGCCCUGAAAUAAUUAAUUACCCAUAGUGCAUUGCUUUGUUGUCACACGUGCUCGAUCCAACAUGUCAGCGCCUGUUGGGACGAUGGCCGAAGACUCAAGCAGUGAAGAUGAAGAUCUAGAACAUUUUAAGGAAGCAGCUUGGAGUUUUGGCACAUAUGGAACUAAUGGCACACACAAUGCCAACCCGGCAGGUAAAUUCGGCCAAACUUUAGUGUACCUUUGCUUUAGCUAAGACCCAGAGUGUAGUUAUCUAGCUAACGCUAACAGUUAGUCAUAACAACAAAUGUGGGGUGGGAGAUGGCUAGCUAAGUGUGUGAAAUCUUGAGCCAACGAGCAAAUCUAUCUUUCUCCAAAACGACAGCAACGUCCUAACAGUAACUACUAUUGCUUUAGAUGGGGUAAGCAAUGUCAAGCAAUCCCGUCGUGUGGCUGUAUCUAAACAUGAACAUGAUGGGAAGGAGUUGCAGACGACCCCGGAGUUCCGUGCGCACGUUGCAAAUAAAUUAGGGGCUCUGCUUGACAGUGAUAUCUGCAGAAACAUCAAGACCCUGCACAGAGUCAACCAAAUGUGAAGAUGGUUUGGAAGGUUUCCGGCUGUUCACCACAUCUGUCCCAGGAGAGUUUACCAUUGAUCCCCCUCCUCCUCCUGUAAGGCGCAGGCCCAUCUCCAGCUCAAGUGACAGUGAAAUUGAGAUGAGACUGAGAGAGGCAGCAGUGUCAGUCACAGACCUCCUAUCAUCAGCUCUCCCCAGCGAGAUUACACAUUCCCUGCCGGAGUCCCCCAGCUCAGAGAAAUGAAGAAGAAGAACAACAACAACAAAGGAGAGGAGGCAGAAAGAGAGGACCAUAAUAACAGCCCUGUCCCAAAGAAAAAUAAGAAAAGGAAAGCUCUCCAGGGGGAGUGUGGAGAGGUAGAGCACUGUGGAGAAUCAUCACCUGAUGCUAAAUCUGAUGAGGAGCAGAAGAGGCCAGAAGAGGACAUUUUACCCCUGAAGAAGAAGAAGAAAGGCACCGAUGAAAGAUGAAGUAUAAAAGCACUGAGAGACUUGUGUGCUGUUAUUUGGGAUGUUGGCUGUUUGUUCCAUACUUGUGAGACCUGUUGUACUUGGGAAUCUUAUCACUGAUUAUAACAUGGUCAGGUCAUACACUUAUAUCACAGCAAUGUUGUACAAUGUAGAUUGCAUUCCAGAAAAUAACAAUGUGAACUUUCAGAAAUGUGAAAUACGUUUUUCACAAGAUAUUUGAUUACCGUUUUCUCUACCCAAAACACAAUUUGUUCUAUGCCUUGUUUCGUAAAGGACGUUGUUUACACUGAAUUCGACUUACAUGUAAAUUUAUGAGCAGGAGGCUACAAUGAUUUUUUUAUUAACAAUUCUUUGUUGAUAACGUACACACUCUGGCCAGUUUAUUUGGUACAAUACCCUGUUCACAAAAAUGGAUCGCUUGUACAGACAGUGAGUCACUUGGCUGUGGCUUGGUAUAUAAGACGGGCAUCGAGGCAUUCAGUUACUGUUCAAUUGAAUGUUAGAAUGGGCAAAACGAGUGACCUAAGCGACUUUGAGCAUGGUAUGAUCAUCUGUGCCAGGUGCACCGGAUCCAGUAUCUCAGAAACAGCCACCCUCCUGGGCUUUUGACGGACAACAGUGCCUAGGGUUUACAGAGAAUGGUGCAACAAACAAAAACAUCAGUCAGUGGCAGUCCUGUGGGCAAAAACAACUUGUUGAAGGAAAAUGGCAAGAAUCGUGCAGGCUAACAGACGGGCCACAAAUAGACAUAUAAUGGCGCAGAAGGGCAUCUCGGAACGCACAACUUGUCGAUCCUUGCCACGAAUGGGCUAUAGCAGCAGACAACCACACUGGGUUCCUUUCCUUAUCAGCUAAAAACAAGAAGAAGCGGCUACAGUGGGGAUGCGAUCACCGACAAAUGCUGUUGUAUUAUGCUGAUGGCAGAGUCAGGUUUUGGUGUAAGCAGCAUGAAUCCAUGGACCCAUCCUGCCUGGUGUCGACAGUACAGGCUGGUAGCGGUAGUGUACUGGUGUGGGGAAUGUUUUCCUGGCACACGUUAGGUCUCUUGAUACCAAUUGAGCAACCAAAUAUUCCGACACCUAAUAGAAUUCAUGCCCCGAAAAAUUCAGGCUGCUCUGGAGGCAAAGGGGGUCUGAACCGGCACUUGAUGGGUGCAGUGCUUCAUUUCAGUUAGAUCUUGCCAGAACAGGAUCUGGCACCUCUCCGUUUUGGACUAUUUGGCCUGAUCCGGUACCUCUCAUGGCAUGAACAAUUAUUUAUCUGAUUUAUUGAAAUACAUUUGCCAAAGUUAUAGAAUUACUGCUGUCUGUUCAGAAAGAAAUUAAAUAAUUCAGAAUACACAAUGA